GGCUGUGUAGCUCAGCUGGCUAGAGCGUACGGUUCAUACCCGUAAGGUCGCUGGUUCGAUCCUAGCCACAGCCACCA
Molecule: transfer RNA, 77 nt
Filed under: Clostridia bacterium
Lineage: Bacteria; Bacillati; Bacillota; Clostridia
Description: tRNA-Met
Rfam family: tRNA
About the family: Transfer RNA (tRNA) molecules are approximately 80 nucleotides in length.
Source: RNAcentral